RNAcentral lists this ribosomal RNA (253 nucleotides) under uncultured bacterium. RNAcentral's name for it is "partial 16S ribosomal RNA". It matches the Rfam family "Bacterial small subunit ribosomal RNA", at positions 524 to 776 of the family's 1533-position model. The record is from RNAcentral.
UACGAAGGGUGCAAGCGUUACUCGGAAUUACUGGGCGUAAAGCGUGCGUAGGCGGUUAGUUCAGUCUGUCGUGAAAGCCCCGGGCUUAACCUGGGAACUGCAUUUGAGACUGUUCAGCUAGAGUUUAGUAGAGGGAAGUGGAAUUCCACAUGUAGCGGUGAAAUGCGUAGAGAUGUGGAGGAACACCAGUGGCGAAGGCGGCUUCCUGGACUAAAACUGACACUGAGGUGCGAAAGCGUGGGGAGCAAACAGG